This is a non-coding RNA of Paramuricea clavata, 1118 nucleotides long. The record is from the annotation of a GenBank genome assembly. NCBI's taxonomy places the organism in Eukaryota, Metazoa, Cnidaria, Anthozoa, Malacalcyonacea, Plexauridae.
UUCAUAUUAACUAUUUAUAAUUUUUCCCGACCAACAUGCUUCUCGUGGGGGAUCUACACUUUGUUUCGAUCAAUGGCGGAAAGUGGUGUCCACACGGCCACACUUCGCCCACGGUGAAGCACACACCGGCAAAAGAGAGCAAGGUCCAUAACGGCGGGGACCCUUACCCUCGUCCUGAUCUUCGCAUCUCUUGGUCACUUCACCACGGGGAAGCCCGGCUCGGACAUGAGAUUCAAUGUCCAUAACGGUGAGGGCCCUUACUCUCACCCUGAUGUUGUUUCUCCAGCUUUUCUGGGGGCCCUUACCCCCAAGAAACCGCACUUUCCGUCACCCAAUUUGGCCACAAAGGAUUUGCGUGAUUUAUUAAGGAGCAAUUUAUUUUAAAAAAUAAAUUAGGAUUAAUAAGAGGCAACAUCCAUACCGAAAAUUGGGAUUAAUAAGAGGCAACAUCCAUACCUAAAACUAUGUAACCUAAACGGUAACGAUAACCAGGGAAAACAACCGCUUUCCUCUCCGGGCAAUAUCUGCCAAGCGUCAAUGUCAAACUGCCAAUAUAAUCCUAUUUUGCUAAGCCAACAUUCCUCAGUUAUCAGCAAAAGCUAGCCAAAUCUUAUCUCAGUUCACUCUGGUUUCAACGGUCUUCGAGACAACAUAAAAGGAAAAUCCCACCCACCCAACCCUUUAAUGAAGAUGAUGAUCCAAUAAUCAGGAACUAUAGAAACUUAAUUAAAUAUAGGAAAUCAAUUGUAAUCAUAUCUAUAUUGUUCUGUUUUAUCAACUUGUAAAUAAUUUUAUACAUUCAAGAAGAAAUAAAGAAAGCGGGACGGAAAGUGGUGUCCACACGGCCACACUUCGCCCACGGUGAAGCACACACCGACAAAAGAGAGCAAGGUCCAUAACGGCGGGGGCCCUUACCCUCGUCCUGAUCUUCGCAUCUCUCGGUCGCUUCACCACGGGGAAGCCCGGCUCGGACAUGAGAUUCAAUGUCCAUAACGGUGAGGGCCCUUACUCUCACCCUGAUGUUGUUUCUCCAGCUUUUCUGGGGGCCCUUACCCCCAAGAAACCGCACUUUCCGUCACCCAAUUUGGCCACAAAGGAUUUGCGUGAUUUAUUAAUGA